UACAGAGGGUGCGAGCGUUGUUCGGAUUUACUGGGCGUAAAGGGCGCGUAGGCGGUCAGCACAAGUCAGUUGUGAAAUCUCCGGGCUUAACCCGGAAAGGUCAACUGAUACUGUGCGACUAGAGUGCGGAAGGGGCAACUGGAAUUCUCGGUGUAGCGGUGAAAUGCGUAGAUAUCGAGAGGAACACCUGCGGCGAAGGCGGGUUGCUGGGCUGAUACUGACGCUGAGGCGCGAAAGCCAGGGGAGCGAACGGG
This 254-nucleotide ribosomal RNA is filed under the name uncultured bacterium. Its description in RNAcentral is "partial 16S ribosomal RNA". It matches the Rfam family "Bacterial small subunit ribosomal RNA", at positions 524 to 776 of the family's 1533-position model. The record is from RNAcentral.